Molecule: ribosomal RNA, 465 nt
Filed under: uncultured bacterium
Lineage: Bacteria
Description: partial 16S ribosomal RNA
Rfam family: Bacterial small subunit ribosomal RNA
Source: RNAcentral
GAUGAACGCUGGCGGCGUGCUUAACACAUGCAAGUCGAACGGAAAGGCUCCUGCUUUCUGGGGUACUCGAGUGGCGAACGGGUGAGUAACACGUGGGUGAUCUGCCCUGCACUUCGGGAUAAGCCUGGGAAACUGGGUCUAAUACCGGAUAGGACCAUGUUUUGGAUGCCAUUGUGGGAAGUGUUUCGGUGUGGGAUGAGCUCGCGGCGUAUCAUCUUGUUGGUGGGGUAGUGGCCUACCAAGGCGUCGACGGGUAGCCGGCCUGAGAGGGUGUACGGCCACAUUGGGACUGAGAUACGGCCCAGACUCCUACGGGAGGCAGCAGUGGGGAAUAUUGCACAAUGGGCGGAAGCCUGAUGCAGCAACGCCGCGUGCGGGAUGACGGCCUUCGGGUUGUAAACCCCUUUCGCCAGGGACGAAGCGAAAGUGACGGUACCUGGAUAAGAAGCACCGGCUAACUACGUG